RNAcentral lists this ribosomal RNA (253 nucleotides) under uncultured bacterium. RNAcentral's name for it is "partial 16S ribosomal RNA". It matches the Rfam family "Bacterial small subunit ribosomal RNA", at positions 524 to 776 of the family's 1533-position model. The record is from RNAcentral.
UACGUAGGGGGCUAGCGUUGUCCGGAAUCAUUGGGCGUAAAGCGCGUGUAGGCGGUCCGGUAAGUCCGCUGUGAAAGUCAAGGGCUCAACCCUUGGAUGCCGGUGGAUACUGCAGGGCUAGAGUCCGGAAGAGGCGAGUGGAAUUCCUGGUGUAGCGGUGAAAUGCGCAGAUAUCUGGAGGAAUACCGGUGGCGAAGGCGGCAUCCUGGACCGACAUUGACGCUGAGGAGCGAAAGCUAGGGGAGCAAACGGG